GACGAACGCUGGCGGCGUGCCUAAUACAUGCAAGUCGAGCGCAGGAAGUCAUCCGAACCCUUCGGGGGGACGUUGACGGAAUGAGCGGCGGACGGGUGAGUAACACGUAAAGAACCUGCCCUCAGGUCUGGGAUAACCACGAGAAAUCGGGGCUGAUACCGGAUGGGUCAUCGGACCGCAUGGUCCGAGGAUGAAAGGCGCUCCGGCGUCGCCUGGGGAUGGCUUUGCGGUGCAUUAGCUAGUUGGUGGGGUAAUGGCCCACCAAGGCGACGAUGCAUAGCCGACCUGAGAGGGUGAUCGGCCACACUGGGACUGAGACACGGCCCAGACUCCGACGGGAGGCAGCAGUAGGGAAUCUUCCACAAUGGACGAAAGUCUGAUGGAGCAACGCCGCGUGAACGAUGAAGGCCCUCGGGUCGUAAAGUGCUGUUGUAAGGGAAGAACAAGUGCCGCAGGCAAGGGCGGCACCUUGACGGUACCGUGCGAGAAAGCCACGGCUAACUACGG
RNAcentral lists this ribosomal RNA (507 nucleotides) under uncultured bacterium. RNAcentral's name for it is "partial 16S ribosomal RNA". It matches the Rfam family "Bacterial small subunit ribosomal RNA", at positions 28 to 506 of the family's 1533-position model. The record is from RNAcentral.